This 250-nucleotide long non-coding RNA is filed under the name Nicotiana benthamiana. Its description in RNAcentral is "long non-coding RNA (NBEN_LNC006123)". The record is from RNAcentral. Lineage: Eukaryota; Viridiplantae; Streptophyta; Magnoliopsida; Solanales; Solanaceae.
GAGAGUUUCUUAGAAUCCAGGGGAAUGCCUAGGUAUCUAAAAGGAAGUUUGCCUUCACUGAAACCCAAGAGUUCUAUCAAUUCUGUUCUAACCUCCUGUGGUACCCCUCCUAGGUAGAUGGCACUCUUGCUUGCAUUUGCUUCCUGACUAGAAGCCUUAGAAAACUUGAGAAAAGCUUGGUGUAAGAUCUGAAUGGAGAUGUUGUCUGCCCGACAGAACAUAAGUAGGUCAUCAGCAAAACAGAAAUGGG